GACGAACGCUGGCGGCGUGCCUAACACAUGCAAGUCGAACGGAACUGUUUUGAAAGAUUUCUUCGGAAUGAAUUUGAUUUAGUUUAGUGGCGGACGGGUGAGUAACGCGUGAGUAACCUGCCUUCAAGAGGGGAAUAACAUUCUGAAAAGAAUGCUAAUACCGCAUGACAUAUCGGAACCACAUGGUUUUGAUAUCAAAGAUUUUAUCGCUUGAAGAUGGACUCGCGUCCGAUUAGUUAGUUGGUGAGGUAACGGCUCACCAAGACCGCGAUCGGUAGCCGGACGAAGGGGAUACACGGCCACAUUGGGAGGGAGGCACGAGCCAGGAUCCUACGGGGGGGAGCAGUGGGGGGUAUUGGGCAAGGGGGGCAACCCUGACGCAGCAACGCCGCGUGAAGGAUGAAGGUUUUCGGAUUGUAAACUUCUUUUAUUAAGGACGAAAAAUGACGGUACUUAAUGAAUAAGCUCCGGCUAACUACGUG
Molecule: ribosomal RNA, 482 nt
Filed under: uncultured bacterium
Lineage: Bacteria
Description: partial 16S ribosomal RNA
Rfam family: Bacterial small subunit ribosomal RNA
Source: RNAcentral